RNAcentral lists this ribosomal RNA (467 nucleotides) under uncultured bacterium. RNAcentral describes it as "partial 16S ribosomal RNA". It matches the Rfam family "Bacterial small subunit ribosomal RNA", at positions 28 to 507 of the family's 1533-position model. The record is from RNAcentral.
GACGAACGCUGGCGGCGUGCUUAACACAUGCAAGUCGAACGGAAAGGCCCUGCUUUUGUGGGGUGCUCGAGUGGCGAACGGGUGAGUAACACGUGAGUAACCUGCCCUUGACUUUGGGAUAACUUCAGGAAACUGGGGCUAAUACCGGAUAGGAGCUCCUGCUGCAUGGUGGGGGUUGGAAAGUUUCGGCGGUUGGGGAUGGACUCGCGGCUUAUCAGCUUGUUGGUGGGGUAGUGGCUUACCAAGGCUUUGACGGGUAGCGGGCCUGGAAGGGUGACCGGGCCCAUGGGACUAAGGGAGGGGCCAGGGGUCAAGCGGGGGGAAUGGGGGGGAAAUUGAUCCAAAGGGGCGGAGUCGGUGAAGAAGACCCCCGGGUUGGGAAGGCCGUCUUUGGGGUGAGAAACGCAUUAGGCUUGUACCGAGCGGUUGUGACGGUAAAUGGAGAAUAAGCACCGGCUAACUUCGUG